This 495-nucleotide ribosomal RNA is filed under the name uncultured bacterium. RNAcentral describes it as "bacterial SSU rRNA". It matches the Rfam family "Bacterial small subunit ribosomal RNA", at positions 899 to 1397 of the family's 1533-position model. The record is from RNAcentral.
ACUCAAAUGAAUAGACGGGGGCCCGCACAAGCGGAGGAACAUGUGGUUUAAUUCGAUGAUACGCGAGGAACCUUACCCGGGCUCGAACGGCUAAUGAAUAUUGAUAAAAGUCAAUAGUCGCAAGACAUUAGUCGAGGUGCUGCAUGGUUGUCGUCAGCUCGUGCCGUGAGGUGUCGGCUUAAGUGCCAUAACGAGCGCAACCCUUACCGUUAGUUACCAUCAAGCAAGUUGGGGACUCUAACGGGACUGCCACCGUAAGGUGUGAGGAAGGUGGGGAUGACGUCAAAUCAGCACGGCCCUUACGUCCGGGGCUACACACGUGUUACAAUGGGAUGGACAGAAGGCUGCUACUCAGCGAUGAGAUGCCAAUCUUCAAACCGUCUCCCAGUUCGGAUUGGAGUCUGCAACCCGACUCCAUGAAGCCGGAUUCGCUAGUAAUCGCGCAUCAGCCAUGGCGCGGUGAAUACGUUCCCGGGCCUUGUACACACCGCCCGU